RNAcentral lists this ribosomal RNA (253 nucleotides) under uncultured bacterium. RNAcentral describes it as "partial 16S ribosomal RNA". The stretch from base 27 to 253 matches the Rfam family "Bacterial small subunit ribosomal RNA", at positions 550 to 776 of the family's 1533-position model. The record is from RNAcentral.
UACCAGCACCCCGAGUGGUCGGGACGUUUAUUGGGCGUAAAGAGCUCGUAGGCGGUUUGUCGCGUCUGCCGUGAAAGUCCGGGGCUCAACUCCGGAUCUGCGGUGGGUACGGGCAGACUAGAGUGAUGUAGGGGAGACUGGAAUUCCUGGUGUAGCGGUGAAAUGCGCAGAUAUCAGGAGGAACACCGGUGGCGAAGGCGGGUCUCUGGGCCGAUACUGACGCUGAGGAGCGAAAGCGUGGGGAGCGAACAGG